This 588-nucleotide ribosomal RNA is filed under the name uncultured bacterium. RNAcentral's name for it is "bacterial SSU rRNA". It matches the Rfam family "Bacterial small subunit ribosomal RNA", at positions 42 to 619 of the family's 1533-position model. The record is from RNAcentral.
GCAGGCCUAACACAUGCAAGUCGAACGGCAGCGGGGGGUAGCUUGCUACCUCGCCGGCGAGUGGCGGACGGGUGAGUAAUGCCUGGGGAGCUGCCCAGUCGAGGGGGAUACCAGUUGGAAACGACUGCUAAUACCGCAUACGCCCUGAGGGGGAAAGGUGGGGAUCUUCGGACCUACCGCGAUUGGAUGCGCCCAGGUGGGAUUAGCUAGUUGGUGAGGUAACGGCUCACCAAGGCGACGAUCUCUAGCUGGUCUGAGAGGAUGACCAGCCACACUGGAACUGAGACACGGUCCAGACUCCUACGGGAGGCAGCAGUGGGGAAUAUUGCACAAUGGGGGAAACCCUGAUGCAGCCAUGCCGCGUGUGUGAAGAAGGCCUUCGGGUUGUAAAGCACUUUCAGUCAGGAGGAAAGGUGGCUAGCUAAUACCUAGUUGCUGUGACGUUACUGACAGAAGAAGCACCGGCUAACUCCGUGCCAGCAGCCGCGGUAAUACGGAGGGUGCAAGCGUUAAUCGGAAUUACUGGGCGUAAAGCGCACGCAGGCGGCUUGUUAAGUCAGAUGUGAAAGCCCCGGGCUCAACCUGGGA